GACGAACGCUGGCGGCGGGCUUAACACAUGCAAGUCGAACGGAAAGGCCCUGCUUGUGUGGGGUGCUCGAGUGGCGAACGGGUGAGUAACACGUGAGUAACCUGCCCUUGACUUUGGGAUAACUUCAGGAAACUGGGGCUAAUACCGGAUAGGAGCUCCUGCUGCAUGGUGGGGGUUGGAACGUUUCGGCGGGUGGGGAUGGACUCGCGGCUUAUCAGCUUGUUGGUGGGGUAGUGGCUUACCAAGGCUUUGACGGGUAGCCGGCCUGAGAGGGUGACCGGCCACAUUGGGACUGAGAUACGGACCAGACUCCUACGGGAGGCAGCAGUGGGGAAUAUUGCACAAUGGGCGGAAGCCUGAGGCAGCAACGCCGCGGGCGGGAUGACGGCCUUCGGGUUGUAAACCGCUUUCGCCUGUGACGAAGCGUGAGUGACGGUAAUGGGUAAAGAAGCACCGGCUAACUACGUG
This 468-nucleotide ribosomal RNA is filed under the name uncultured bacterium. RNAcentral's name for it is "partial 16S ribosomal RNA". It matches the Rfam family "Bacterial small subunit ribosomal RNA", at positions 28 to 507 of the family's 1533-position model. The record is from RNAcentral.